GAUGAACGCUGGCGGCGUGCCUAAUACAUGCAAGUCGAGCGAACGGACGAGAAGCUUGCUUCUCUGAUGUUAGCGGCGGACGGGUGAGUAACACGUGGAUAACCGACCUAUAAGACUGGGAUAACUUCGGGAAACCGGAGCUAAUACCGGAUAAUAUUUUGAACCGCAUGGUUCAAAAGUGAAAGACGGUCUUGCUGUCACUUAUAGAUGGAUCCGCGCUGCAUUAGCUAGUUGGUAAGGUAACGGCUUACCAAGGCAACGAUGCAUAGCCGACCUGAGAGGGUGAUCGGCCACACUGGAACUGAGACACGGUCCAGACUCCUACGGGAGGAAGCAGUAGGGAAUCUUCCGCAAUGGGCGAAAGCCUGACGGAGCAACGCCGCGUGAGUGAUGAAGGUCUUCGGAUCGUAAAACUCUGUUAUUAGGGAAGAACAUAUGUGUAAGUAACUGUGCACAUCUUGACGGUACCUAAUCAGAAAGCCACGGCUAACUACGUG
Molecule: ribosomal RNA, 497 nt
Filed under: uncultured bacterium
Lineage: Bacteria
Description: partial 16S ribosomal RNA
Rfam family: Bacterial small subunit ribosomal RNA
Source: RNAcentral